Molecule: long non-coding RNA, 791 nt
Organism: Salvia splendens (bonfire salvia)
Lineage: Eukaryota; Viridiplantae; Streptophyta; Magnoliopsida; Lamiales; Lamiaceae
Exons: 3
Source: RefSeq, a predicted model, not a curated record
UAUGGAAGAAUUAGUUUCAUUCCCUUCACUUUUCAGAAAGUGAGCGCCGACCCCCCACCCCCACUUCCCACUCCCACUUCCUCUCUCAAGUUCUCCACACCUCCUUGUUCCGACGCCCACCUCGCUACCUCCGGCGCCCCAAUCGCCGAGCCCUCCCGGACUCCAUCUCUCUCGUUGCUUCUUCUCUCUUGCCCUCCCAUUGCCGCUCGUUCCUCUCCUCGAUAACAUCCAACACCGUACAUCGCCGCCUCCGCUUCCCCAUAGCCGUCGCGCAUUUAGAGUGUUUGUUCAAAGAAAAGACAAUAUGAUCCGAUUGAUUAUGAGUGUAUUGACAAAGUAGAGUUUUGGGUGAUUGAUGAAGAUGCUAAUGAAGAGCUUGAUUAUGAGGAGUUGGAGGAAAUGUUAGAUGAAGAACAAGCAAAAGGUGAUGAAGAUGAUAUAAUGGGGAUUAAUGAUGACGAAAUUGAUUUGUCAAGAUUUGAUGAUGAUGGAAAUACUGGUAGCAUCAAUGAUAGUUUUUGUGACUUGAGUUGCAUUAAGCUUGAAGUUGGAAAUGAAAGUGAUUGAGAUGAUCACUAAGUAUUUUAUUUUGAGUUCCUAGCUUGGUAUUUUGAUAAAGACUUGUGUAUUUUGAUAAAGACUUGUGUAUUUAGAUAUUUGAACCUAUUGGCAUUGUAAUGCAAGCUGACCAGCAUAGCAUGGCAUGGUAGUGUAUCGGAAAAUACUUAAGAUGCAUUGCGUGGCACCAAAUCUGCCAUUUUUGAUAAUUUGAUAAUGUUAUUUUUUAUUUA